This 378-nucleotide unclassified non-coding RNA is filed under the name uncultured bacterium. RNAcentral's name for it is "contains 16S-23S intergenic spacer region". The record is from RNAcentral.
UCGCGUCUUACGACGGCAGUUUCACUAGAGUUCCCAGCGUUACCUGAUGGCAACUAGUGAUGGGGGUUGCGCUCGUUGCGGGACUUAACCCAACAUCUCACGACACGAGCUGACGACAGCCAUGCAGCACCUGUGCACGCUCCCGAAGGUCGGUCAGGUUUCCCCUCCCUACCACGUGCAUGUCAAACCCAGGUAAGGUUCUUCGCGUUGCAUCGAAUUAAACCACACGCUCCGCUGCUUGUGCGGGCCCCCGUCAAUUCCCUUGAGUUUUAGCCUUGCGGCCGUACUCCCCAGGCGGUGUGCUUAUCGUGUUAGCUGCGCUACCGAGGGGGUCGAUACCCCCGACAGCUAGUGCUCAUCGUUUACGGCGUGGACUAC